Molecule: non-coding RNA, 26 nt
Filed under: Mus musculus (house mouse)
Lineage: Eukaryota; Metazoa; Chordata; Mammalia; Rodentia; Muridae
Source: RNAcentral
UGGAAGGACUGAGGACAGGUUUCGCA